Molecule: non-coding RNA, 903 nt
Organism: Equus caballus (horse)
Lineage: Eukaryota; Metazoa; Chordata; Mammalia; Perissodactyla; Equidae
Source: RefSeq, a predicted model, not a curated record
UGUCUAUGUUGGACCAGCAUAGGCUGAAAGAGGAGACACUCACUAUGGCCUAGGGUAGAAGUGGGGGAUAAUAGUUACAGCAAGCACAUGUUGAGUUAUUUUCAAAUGCUUUACAUGUGUCAACAUUUAAUCGUCCCUAGCAGCCAGGGAGGUAGGGUAAAAUGUGCAAGCCCAUUUCACAGAUGAGAAAAUUGAGGCACAAUUUUGCCUCCUCUGAGGGAGGUAAGAAAUUUGCCCAAGGUUACACAGCUGGCAAGUGACCACAACAGGACUGAAAUUCAGACCCUCUGGAUCAAGAGCGAAGCUCAUAGCCGCUAGGCUAGACCGCGGAGGGUCUUGAGGUUGAGAGGAAGCAGUCAGGAGAGGAGGGAGCAGGAAAUUCAGUUUUAGAGGAGAAAUUAGUCCAGUUCUCUCCUCUCUGCCUUUCACGGGAAAGGUAGUUCCUGUGAAGAGACGCCUGAACCCAGAGGUAGGUGCCAACGGAAAUUUCUUCCUGAAAAGUAAUAAUAGCUGCUAUUUAUUUAGCACCUACAUUGCGAAGGGCACAUGAUGUUUGUUUCCUGUAACCAGACACCUUGCCUCCAAAGCUUCUUUCUACUCUAUGACCCUGUGUCUGUGCCAGUGACUUUGGGACCCCAGCCCAUCCAGAGAGAGGGCAAGACACAGAUGGGGAAGGGCUCCACUGAGCACACGCAUGGAUAAUGCUACUUUUUUAUUUUAAGAGGUUUGUUCCAGGUGGGAAUGAGAUGAAGCUGUGAAAGCCCAGGCUGGCUCCAUUUGCUUCCCUUUGACCUUGGGGAGACUCUGUUACUUGGGGAUUCUCCAUCAUUGCAGCUGCAGGAUGCAAGACAGAGCAUCAAGCCUGAAGAGCCUGUUCUGCCGCUCUCUAGCUGCAAGACCUUA